This 520-nucleotide ribosomal RNA is filed under the name uncultured bacterium. RNAcentral describes it as "bacterial SSU rRNA". It matches the Rfam family "Bacterial small subunit ribosomal RNA", at positions 337 to 874 of the family's 1533-position model. The record is from RNAcentral.
UCCUACGGGAGGCAGCAGUGGGGGAUAUUGCACAAUGGGGGAAACCCUGAUGCAGCGACGCCGCGUGAGGGAAGACGGUCCUCGGAUUGUAAACCUCUGUCUUCGGGGACGAAACGAGACGGUACCCGAGGAGGAAGCCACGGCUAACUACGUGCCAGCAGCCGCGGUAAUACGUAGGUGGCAAGCGUUGUCCGGAAUUACUGGGUGUAAAGGGAGCGUAGGCGGGCAGGCAAGUCAGGCGUGAAAUAUAUCGGCUCAACCGGUAACGGCGCUUGAAACUGCAGGUCUUGAGUGAAGUAGAGGUUGGCGGAAUUCCUAGUGUAGCGGUGAAAUGCGUAGAUAUUAGGAGGAACACCAGUGGCGAAGGCGGCCAACUGGGCUUUUACUGACGCUGAGGCUCGAAAGUGUGGGGAGCAAACAGGAUUAGAUACCCUGGUAGUCCACACCGUAAACGAUGAUUACUAGGUGUGGGGGGACUGACCCCUUCCGUGCCGGAGUUAACACAAUAAGUAAUCCACCU